GAGGGUGUAGCUCAGUGGUAGAGCGCAUGCUUAGCAUGCAUGAGGUCCUGGGUUCGAUUCCCAGUACCUCCA
This 72-nucleotide transfer RNA is filed under the name Camelus bactrianus (Bactrian camel). It matches the Rfam family "tRNA". Rfam says of the family: Transfer RNA (tRNA) molecules are approximately 80 nucleotides in length. RNAcentral also lists the same sequence under 2 other names. The record is from Rfam by way of RNAcentral. Lineage: Eukaryota; Metazoa; Chordata; Mammalia; Artiodactyla; Camelidae.